Molecule: long non-coding RNA, 526 nt
Filed under: Homo sapiens (human)
Lineage: Eukaryota; Metazoa; Chordata; Mammalia; Primates; Hominidae
Description: non-protein coding lnc-CNPY1-4:17
Source: RNAcentral
AGAAUUUGUUGCUUUUGUAGACUCUUGUUUGCAGAUGGAUAGUAACAUUUUUAGGUUGUAUUUCAAGUAACCAGCUACACGGUUUUAAUUCGUUACUUUAAUCAAGUGCUAGAUGUCAUGAAAUUCUUUUAUGGGGCUUCCAAUGAAAAGGGCAUUGUAGUUAUACAACCUUAGAAUUUUCUUUAAUCCUGCAGCAGAAAAACAAAAACAACAAACCUAUAAUUUUAUGUUUGACAGGCAAUAAGAGAAAGAAAGAGAUGUGUUACUGCACACUGGUUAAACACAGUCUUAAAGAAGAAGAAAAUGGUACCGCCGCACCGAGCCCUUCACUUCCCAGUGGCCUUCCCACCAGGAGGAAAGCCAUGUUCACAGCAUAUUAUUUCUGUGACUGGAUUUGUUGAUAGUGACAGAGAUGACCUAAAAUUAAUGGCUUAUUUGGCAGGUGCCAAAUAUACGGGUUAUCUAUGCCGCAGCAACACAGUCCUCAUCUGUAAAGAACCAACUGGUUUAAAGUAUGAAAAAGCCA